CUUGCUAAUAUUUCAAAAGAAUCUAGUAAAGACUGUGUUUAGAUCCCCGUGAAAGCUGCAAAGGCAACUGGAAUGUCAAUGUCUUUAGUUUUGGCUGGAGUCACAGAGAGGAGGUGAGGGUACCUCGUCCCAAGCUGCUCUGGGGGCUCAGGUCAUAUCUGUGACUUGUUGAAGAAAGGGGGGCAGAGCAGCAACCAGAGUCCAGCGCACGCUUCAUUGUGACGUGUGGGGACACAGUGAAGAAGAAGGACCCGGAAGCAGCAGGCUGAUCCUUGGGUUGAUGCCUCCUGCGUGACGGGCCCUGCGCUGGGCGGUGGUGUUGGGACGGCCAAGACACCAGUUGCCCCGGCGCACCGCAGAGACAGGCACACAACUGAAGACAUCGACGGCUGAGUCAAGAAGUGAAGGCGCUCUGGCUGAACUCAAGUUUCUGCUCCUCCCUCCAUGCUGCCCUGCGGACCUGAGCUAUUCU
Long non-coding RNA from Camelus dromedarius (Arabian camel), 472 nucleotides. RefSeq lists it as uncharacterized. NCBI's taxonomy places the organism in Eukaryota, Metazoa, Chordata, Mammalia, Artiodactyla, Camelidae. The transcript is spliced from 3 exons. The record is from RefSeq and is a predicted model, not a curated record.